Dendrobium catenatum is the source of this 2624-nucleotide RNA transcript. It is a transcript of the gene named ATPase family AAA domain-containing protein FIGL1, with no coding region annotated. Lineage: Eukaryota; Viridiplantae; Streptophyta; Magnoliopsida; Asparagales; Orchidaceae. The transcript is spliced from 15 exons. The record is from RefSeq and is a predicted model, not a curated record.
UCAGUACGCUUUGCUUUUAAAAGCUCCCUAGUUUGGCGGCGGUGGAGAAGGGGAGAGGCUAUGGAGGAUAAAGGGAAAAAUUGGAGGGCGGAGGUGGGGGAGAAUCUCAGUCGUCUCCAAUCCCUUCUAUUCGGAGCGGAAUCCGCCGCCCAGCGCGGGGAUCAUGCAACAGCUCAGGUCCUUGGCCUCCGCCUCCUUGGCUUUCUCGACUCCCGCACCGUCUCGCCCUUAGACGCAGCCUAUAUAACUCCAAUUCGCACCGAGGUGCAAUCGAGAGUAGCUGCUGCCUCCCGAGCCCUUGCUCCCGAUUCCGAUCAACAGGCAUAUGAACAGGCGAGAAGAGAUGUAGGUCAUAUAUUUGUCAAGAGUGGUGCUAUGGACAUUCAGAAUAUUACAAUCUCCAAGCACUUUCAAGAUUUUCUACGUAUACCCAGAGGAAAUAUUGAAGACCAAAUGGUAUCAAGUACAUCUUCAGAUGCUAACUUAUUUUCUACCGAAGGCUGUGACACCCAGAAGCAACAGAAACAACUAGAAAUCCAAUUUAAUAGGCAACAUGAAAAGCUUAGCAUCAGGGCAUCUAAACUAAUGACACAGAUGAAGAUUACAUCCAUUUAUGGCAGCAAUUCCAUGAAGUUGAAUCAAACAGAUAAUAAAAAGCAACAAAAUUCUGAAGGUUUCAUUUCUAUGGGAUGUAUUGAUGUUGAGAGUGAACAUUCAGAGAGCUGCAGUUUUGUUAGAAAUGCCGAUGACACUGCCCUGCAAACUGAGGAAGAAGAAAAGUCUCACGCCAUUACCCUGAAACCCAAACGCAAACACUCAGAAUUUACUAGUCCAAUAUGUGCUAAUGUAAAAUCCCCACCAGUAUGUGAAGAAGCCAAUGUAGAUACCCCUGGCAAUGUUUUUGUUACGGCAAGAGCAAAAUUGGAAAUGGAUGCCAGGCGAAAGCACAGUGGUAGGGGUUCUUUAAAUCCCGCUAUAUCUGCACAUGUGGAGAAUAAUCCGGCUGGAACAGCAAGAAACUAUGGCAUGAGGUCUGGAUUUCCACGCCGUGGAUUUCGUGGUAAUUUUGUACCUCCCAUUAAAUCAAACGGGGGGAAUGCUGGAAAUACAAUAAGCUCACGGAUUUCAGAGAAAAAUGAUGAUUUGUUGGAUGAUUCUACAAGAACAUGUUUGGAAAUAUUGUGUGGUCCUGAUGGGGAGCUUCCUGAGAAGUUGAGAAAUAUAGAACCACGUCUUAUUGAACAUGUUAGUAAUGAGAUAAUGGACAAGGACCCUAAUGUUCGAUGGAAUGACAUAGCUGGUUUGGAACAUGCGAAGAAAUGUGUUACGGAGAUGGUUAUUUGGCCUCUUUUGCGGCCUGACAUAUUUCGAGGUUGUCGCUCUCCCGGAAGAGGUCUACUUUUAUUUGGGCCCCCAGGAACAGGUAAAACAAUGAUAGGUAAAGCUAUUGCUGGAGAAGCCAAAGCAACCUUUUUUUACAUAUCAGCUAGUUCAUUGACAAGCAAAUGGAUUGGUGAAGGGGAGAAGCUUGUCAGGGCACUUUUUGGGGUUGCAAGUUGUCGCCAACCAGCAGUAAUAUUUGUGGACGAAAUAGACUCCCUUCUAUCACAGAGGAAGUCAGAUGGUGAACAUGAAUCAAGCAGGCGACUUAAAACACAAUUCCUAAUCGAGAUGGAAGGAUUUGACAGUGGAAACGAACAAAUCCUUCUCGUAGAAACUAUAGGUGCAACCAACAGACCCCAGGAACUCGAUGAGGCUGCACGGAGAAGACUUACAAAGCGGCUGUACAUACCUCUCCCUUCCUCAGAAGCUAGAGCCUGUAUUGUACGUAAUCUUCUCGAUAAGGAUGGGCUGUUCCAGCUUUCAGAUGAAGAUAAUGCCACCAUCUGCAAGUUAACUGAAGGCUAUUCGGGAUCAGACAUGAAGAACCUUGUCAAGGAUGCAUCCAUGGGACCACUAAGAGAAGCCCUCAGGCUGGGUAUCGAGCUAACAAAGCUCAAGAAGGAGGAUAUGAGACCAGUGACCCUUCAGGACUUUAAGAACGCUUUGCAAGAAGUGAGACCUUCAGUUUCAUUUAAUGAGCUCGGCACUUACGAGGAAUGGAAUAGGCAAUUUGGGAGCUUAUCAAUGUAAGCUUUGACAUCACAUUGUUGUAGCAGUUUCUAUGAAAACACAUGGCGAAAAAACAUAGACUAUGUAAUAUAUUUUUAACUGAGAGGAAGAGGAAGGAAGCAACAUGGUUGGAGGAAGAAACGACAACUAGGAUGCAUGAACCAUGGAUGAAUGAAUACAUGCAAUAUGGUGGAGCUCUAUCGUUGCAAGUUCUGCUAGUUCAAUCAUAGUUCUAAUUCAUCGCCUCAAAUUCAGCCAUGUCUAAGCACUCGGCAGCUCCUAUUUCUGAAUUCAACGGCCAAGAAAUAUAUACAAAGUAAAUUAACUCACUGCAAAAUUAAAUUAAUAUUUUGUACGUUUAUAAACUAUGUUACUGAAAACAUUUGGUAAAUUCUCACCAAAAGUUUAAAGAUAUACGUAUUUGACAUAUGAGCUCUCAACAAGCCGACCAAUUCCAGACUGGCAUUUGCCAAUUUUUUUUAAAACUGUUGAUACUCUUUCUGAUAGUAAUA